This 430-nucleotide long non-coding RNA is filed under the name Malus domestica (apple). RNAcentral describes it as "long non-coding RNA (MDOM_LNC005153)". The record is from RNAcentral. Lineage: Eukaryota; Viridiplantae; Streptophyta; Magnoliopsida; Rosales; Rosaceae.
CCCUACGCGCGACCACGCGCAGGGACCUUAACAGAAUCCCUUAACCCUGUUAGGAAUAUUCCAUUAAAAAGUAACAGAAACCAUUAAAGCUAACCAACAUCGUUAGGAAUAUUCCAUCAAAUUUGACGGAAUAUUCCGUCAUCCCCUACCUUCGAACUCCGACGACCGUGUCGCCCGAAACUGGAAAAACUUUAAAACCUUGUAUCUUAGUCAUUUCUUAACCAAAACUCAUGAAAUUGGUCUUAAUUUAAAGCUUAUAACUAGAAGAACACAUCCUUACCAAUUUCAAGGCUUGAAAUCCACGAAAACUCUCCAAAGAGAGCUCGAUAAUUCCGGCCAAAUUUGAAACUCUUCAAACUUGACUUCCCGACGUCCAGUUUGCUUGGUUUUUCUUCUCCGAGCUUCAUAAGGAUGUUCUAAAGCUUCCUAU